GUGGGGAAUCUUGCGCAAUGGGCGAAAGCCUGACGCAGCCAUGCCGCGUGAAUGAUGAAGGUCUUAGGAUUGUAAAAUUCUUUCACCGGGGACGAUAAUGACGGUACCCGGAGAAGAAGCUCCGGCUAACUUCGUGCCAGCAGCCGCGGUAAUACGAAGGGGGCUAGCGUUGCUCGGAAUUACUGGGCGUAAAGGGCGCGUAGGCGGACAGCUUAGUCAGAGGUGAAAGCCCAGGGCUCAACCUUGGAAUUGCCUUUGAUACUGGCUGUCUUGAGUUUGGGAGAGGUGAGUGGAACUCCGAGUGUAGAGGUGAAAUUCGUAGAUAUUCGGAAGACCACCAGUGGCGAAGGCGACUCACUGGCCCAAUACUGACGCUGAGGCGCGAAAGCGUGGGGAGCAAACAGGAUUAGAAACCCGUGUAGUCC
This 425-nucleotide ribosomal RNA is filed under the name uncultured bacterium. RNAcentral's name for it is "partial 16S ribosomal RNA". It matches the Rfam family "Bacterial small subunit ribosomal RNA", at positions 354 to 796 of the family's 1533-position model. The record is from RNAcentral.